AUGAGGUGGAAAGGAUCUGUGGCUUGGUUUUCAGAAGACCCAUGAAAAGGCUUCCAGCCCAGCGCUUCCCUCCUGGCCCACUGCCAGCAGGCACCCCGGCUGCCUGAACAUUGCACCCACCCUCAUGCCUAGCACUUGGCUCCCGUCACCCCCCAUCCCCCGGCACCAAGGCAAUUCUUCCUUUUGCAUCCAUGGCAAACACAACAUGCCUUGUAAGUACCAGAUACAUCUCGUCCACUUACAUGCCUGCUCCUCCCUCUCCUCUAGUCUUCCUCGCAGAGGACACUGGAAAGUGCUCUUUUACAGGAAUCAGUUUCUUCAAUGAAAAGAUAAUUCAUUCAGAAGAAUCCAGAAAGGAAAUGAGUGUUCUCCCUCCUUACCCCACCAGAUCCUGAAGCAAGAGGGAAGACAUUUUAUUUUACCUUCAGUCAAGCAAUGAUGAUGUCAACAAGUAGUGCAAUUCAAUAGAAUCAAAACAUCUUGCUCCUGCUACCAUUGCUGUUGAAAGUACAGAGAAACAAUGCUCUGGACACAGCCUAGUUAAAGAGUAACCAUUAAUAGUUAAACAGCCCAAAUGACUACAGACAGCACCCUUGCCAUGCUAUUGUCUCUUCUCCCUCUUGCACCUGCACCACCUGCAGAGGCACCCAGAGGGGGCCAGGUCUCUGCCGAUCUGCAGGACAGCAGCGGGGGCCCUGCAGCUCAGGCAGCUGCCUCCCCAUGACAGCUGGGGAGCCCUGGGAGCUGCAGGACCCCAUGGUGUGGCAGAGGCCCAAGGCUUCCUCCUCUGCAGUGAAAUAAGGAGACCCCUAGGCAAUCCUACGUUGCACGGUGUCAGGUGGCGGCAAAAUGGGGAACUGUAACAAGCUCUCUGCUGUUUGCUUUUUCCACUAUAGUUCCCCUUCCUUCUCCAUGGUAUCCCGAAAGCGAAGGGCAUCAAACACACAAGCCACCAUCACAGUUGGAAAAACAGUAUGCAACUUAAGUAAAUAUAACUCAGUUGUACCAAUGAAAUUGAAAACAGGGAAAUGACAUAAAAAGAAUGUACAUUAUUUUAAAUUGCAGGUUUUUAUACGUUCACUUUUAUUGCCUCACUCUUUUAAAUAAAUCCAGGACCUGAUUUACUUUAAUAAAAGUUUAAUUUCA
This is a long non-coding RNA of Falco peregrinus (peregrine falcon), 1146 nucleotides long. RefSeq lists it as uncharacterized. NCBI's taxonomy places the organism in Eukaryota, Metazoa, Chordata, Aves, Falconiformes, Falconidae. The transcript is spliced from 2 exons. The record is from RefSeq and is a predicted model, not a curated record.